CAUCGAAAUACAGCUCAAGUACAAAUCCUAAAACGUAAUCAUGCAUAACCAUGCAUGAUCUAAAAAAAUACUUAUAAAUUUUUGGAAGUUAUUCAAUUCCAACAAAUGCCAAUAUGUGAAGGCCGCCAACGUAGAUAUAUUGUGCAAUUGCAAUAAUAUUAAAAUUAUUUGAUAUCAAUUAUUUCCCUUUUCCGGAUGUUCUCUUCUUGUAACGUGCAUAAACUUGAUAUGCGGCUUUGAGGCCACUCUCCAAGGCACCUUGAAUCCAACCAGCGGCAAAUGAUAAGGCUUCUCCUGCGAAAUGUACGUUACCCAUGGGUUCCCACAGGUAUCUAAAUACAAGAAAUAUGAAUAAGUGUAGAUAAACACAAAAUCCAAUCUCUCAUACCAAUACAGUUAUUUGUUUAGCUUGUACAAUUAAACUAUUACACACGUUUUCGAAAUAAACGCUUUCUAACGAACCAAAAAACUAGAAGCCAUAAACAAUUUGAAC
Non-coding RNA from Paramuricea clavata, 493 nucleotides. NCBI's taxonomy places the organism in Eukaryota, Metazoa, Cnidaria, Anthozoa, Malacalcyonacea, Plexauridae. The record is from the annotation of a GenBank genome assembly.